Molecule: long non-coding RNA, 1129 nt
Filed under: Cairina moschata (Muscovy duck)
Lineage: Eukaryota; Metazoa; Chordata; Aves; Anseriformes; Anatidae
Description: domestica (muscovy Duck (domestic type)) lncRNA (ENSCMMG00000016586.1)
Source: RNAcentral
CUGCGAACUGAAUAAGUUAACUCAGUUUGUUUAAUGAGCUGGAAAGCUUCUAACAAGCCCUGCUUUUAAAUGUCUGGUCAAGAAUACAGGAAUAUUUCCCAAGCAUUAAAUCUACUACUUGCAGAGAAGAGGAAAUGUUCCCUUAGGGUAAAGAAUGAAGGUGGUGAGGGACAGAAAAGGAUACAGCCCUGUCAGGAACCUUAGCAAAGCACAGUGUUUUUCAGUGCAGCAUACAGGCGUCUCAGAAAUAUUAAUUACCUUUCCUGUCUCCAAGACGCACUCUGCACUAUUUGGGAGCAAUCCAGACUGAAACCAGCCCUCAGCCUAAUUAUUUCCUACUUUUGUCAGAGGAAGCUUUCAUCAACCAGUAUAUAAGAAGGAAACACCACAAUACUGUAUAAGCACCAGCAAGUCUUUGAAGGAAAUGAAUGGUAUAUUACAUAAAGGAAGAAAAGAUUCUUUCUGAUAAAACAGUUGAGAGACUUUAAUGUUCUUUAUCUCUUUCCAUACCAGAAACCAGACCUGCAAUGAAGGACUAGAUGUGAUUACACAGACUACUAGUACCAAACCAUAGUGCGAUCAUAAUACAGCCCUUGCUCAUGACAGCAUCCUUUUGAAUCACACCAGACCCAAGUACAGUGCUGUAUUUAAAAGACUGAGUAGAUUUACUCUUAGCUACAAUAAUAUUUAUAGCAUUUUCAUCUCUGCUUCCGAUUGCAUGCUACUGGGGCUUUCUUUAAAAACAGAGAAAUAAAAAUUGAGUACAAAGAGGUGCGUUAUUUUGAGAGAAGUUAUUUGAAAAUGUUGGUUUGGGGUCUAUGAAAAGUAAGAGCUGAAGUCUUAGUGACCCUAGUCACUGCACUCCUGAAAUAAAAAAUAAUAAUAAUAAAAAGAAAAUGACCGACAAGAGAGACAUCCUUUCAGAACAUAAAUCCUGCUAUGCCCCUCUUGCACCAACCCUGCAAAUUCUUGUGGUACAGUGACAGUUCCUUUCUUGUCUGAAGCAAAACCUGAACUGAAAGCUUCAAUAUCCAAAAGCACAGAUCAUUGUUCUUUGAAAUGAAAGGUCAAGUUAACAAGGCAAGAUCUACACAUCCCUCUGUGGACUGGCAAAGAAAUAAAAGCUGAA